Molecule: long non-coding RNA, 1359 nt
Filed under: Oreochromis niloticus (Nile tilapia)
Lineage: Eukaryota; Metazoa; Chordata; Actinopteri; Cichliformes; Cichlidae
Description: lncRNA (ENSONIG00000038470.1)
Source: RNAcentral
GUAAAGUUAACUGUAUAAACGUGUUCAAUGACUUUGUUACUUUUGAUGAUUGGAGAGCACUCGCUUCAAUUUGCACACGAAAACUUUAGACUCAGUUUGAAUGCUCACGCAGCAUGCCCACGUGACUGUACGUUGCACGGUCACCUAACUUUACGUUGCACGCGUACAUGACUUUCCGUUUGUGCCUUGAAUAAUGAAUAAGGCUACGUCCACACAUACCAGCGUAUUUUUGAAACCGCUGAUUUUUCUAUGCGUUUGCACCUUUUGUCCACACGUAAUGUAUGUCUGACCGUACAUUGUGUUUGUAUUUCCAGGCACAUUUCACGAAGCAGAACGCAGUCUUCAGAGAUAUCCACGUGAACGCUGUGAUACGUCUGACCUUCAGUCCGAAGAAGAAACCCAGACCAGUCUUAAAAGAAAGCACAAACCAAAUCCCCUGUACACAUAUACGGACUCAGAGGAUGAGCAGCCUACAAAAAAAACUGUUUCCCCAGGCCCCUCGAGUGAAAAUACCAGCCCUCAUCACUCCAGUCUGCCCCCCAGCCCACUGAUAGCAACCAUCAUAAUGCCACACCCAGCUUCCGGCACCUUUCGCCACUCCGGCACAAACCGACACAGCUUUGCGAUCUCGCCAGCAUGCAGAGUCUGAUGUCUUCCCUAUAGAUGGUAUGCUUUUAAAAAAGCUUUAAAGCUGCAUCACAAUGUCAUUGUACUCUUAUCUAAAAAAAAAAAAAAAAAAACCCCAAUUUAUACUCCUGAAUGUCAUCUUGUUGUGAUUUUUUUUUUUUUUUUCCUGCAGAUUCCAGAGACUCUGUGAGGCCACCAUUACAAGGCAAGUUUGAAAAUCUUGGAAUUUCACAGUUUACAUGGUAUAACAAAUAUGUGACAGGCAAAAACUAGUAAACACUUUUAGCAGUUACAAGAACUAACAAAUGAAUAUCCAACAAAAGGGAAUAGAAAUACAUUGUACUGCCAAUACUUUGGUUUAUUCUUUGUAUGACUUGAAAAUCAGGCUUUAGGGAAAACUAAAUGACAUGUUUCUAUCAUCAAUUACAUGAAGUAAACACACAAGCACUUGCAUACACAUUUAAGACAUGAGACACGCUAAUUCCAUCUCUUAAAAUGUGUCUAUAGGUGAGACGCUUUGCGUUGAUUGGUGCUGCUGGACCACACUGGAGGUGCGAGUCCGCCGUGUAAUGGUUUAUGCCAUUACAAAGGAGCUGGCCUCUGUACUCAACUGGGCAGGGAAAAAAAACCAAGGACCAGACAAAGCAAAAAAGGGCAUUUAAAGAGACAGCGCUGUGCAGAUGCAUAUUUGGUAAGUUUUACUGUUAAUUGUAGUUUUAUGAGCCUAAAGUG